UACUAUUCAAGCAGUACAUUGGCCUAUUCCUCACCCUUCUGCUCUAUGGCCUCCCAGUCUCAUAGCUACAGAGCUGCCCUCCUUCUGUCUAUCCUGGCUCACCGCUUUUUGGUUUGAUCUGAAAUGUGGGAGUACCUCCAGCUGCUGUGCUAUUUUCACCAGCAUUUCCUAACCCCGGUGCUUCCCAGGGCUGUCAUAUCUCUCGUCUUCUCAUGCAGCUGCUUGUUGCAUCAUGCUCUUUUCUUCCUCCAGUAGGUGACUCCUCUUCACUUUUCACUCUUGUAGCCCCGGUCUUUCCUUUUUGGGCACACUCACAACAGGGAGUUACAGUAUGUUCCAGGGAUCAUAAGGACCGGAUAUCCUUUGCACCUCGGCCUGGAUGCUGCAUUGUACUCCAUGCAGCUGGACCUUUUGCAAAGUUGAACCAGCUACACACCAGCUUCUGGGAAAUGCAGAUUGGCUCCGGGUAGGGAAAGUGUUUAAAAUGCAAAAGAGAAGUGACAAGAGAUUUUAAAAGGAAUGUCUGUUUUUUUAGCAUCUGCUGGUUUGAGACUUUGUGGCAGGGAAAGUGGGUGGAAGGAGCCUUCUGUUUCAAAACCUCCACAGCAGUGUGAACAUAAUCAACCUCAGCUUAGACACUGAAGGGCUGACUUUGCUGCUUCAGAGAAUUUGGCCCUGGAUCUUAGAGAAAAUUGAAGGGAAAGCAACAACAACAACAAGCUUGCAGCAGAUUAUCAAGAUUGAUGUAAUAUCAGCGUUGGAACUAACUGCCAGGGCAUGAGAAGUGGAAUUAUAUUUGAAGCAGAAUAUCUUGGGGCCCCACUGCUUGGAUACAACCGGUUCAGUUUCCUUCUCCGCACUAGGCAGCAGCCGGAAUGUGACCUUAGUAAUAUGUACAGCACAGAAACAAGGACCAAAUCCCUUUUUAACCACCAUCAAAAGGAGAGCCUAAAUGAGUUUGCAGGGAAUAGCAGCAGCAGAUGUUCAUUCGAACCACUGUGUCAACAUCUAAAAAUCAGUAUGACAGCUCAUCAGAUGCCACUGAAGGAAAAGAAGGAGCCUGUGAUAAGCUAUUACAGUGUUUACCUGAACAGAUUUUGCUUUGUGCCCUAAAUCCUUGUUAGCUCGUUUCAUGGUACAAAGAAAGAAACUCCAAAUCUGUUCUGUUAAAGUGUGUGAAUAAUGGACAUGAGUAAAGUGUCAUAGACUGAUGACCUCCUGAACUGGUCAAUGAAGCAGUAGUAAUUAUUAUGGCACAUAAAAGCUAUAAGGAGUCAGACUGAAAGACAAAUGCCUA
Molecule: long non-coding RNA, 1297 nt
Filed under: Chrysemys picta bellii (western painted turtle)
Lineage: Eukaryota; Metazoa; Chordata; Testudines; Emydidae
Description: lncRNA (ENSCPBG00000020514.1)
Source: RNAcentral